RNAcentral lists this long non-coding RNA (1087 nucleotides) under Homo sapiens (human). RNAcentral describes it as "HSALNT0317703". The record is from RNAcentral. Lineage: Eukaryota; Metazoa; Chordata; Mammalia; Primates; Hominidae.
AGGCUGGAGUGCAAUGGUGCGAUUUUGGCUCACUGCAACCUUCACCUUCUGGGUUCAAGCAAUUCUCCUGCCUCAGCCUCCCGAGUAGCUGGGAUUACAGCUGGAUCUACCAUGAAAGACUUGUGAAUCCAGGAAGAGAGACUGACUGGGCAACAUGUUAUUCAGAAUCUUCCUGUGCCAUCCAGGCUGGAGUGCAGUGAUGUGAUCAUAGCUCACUAUAGCUUUGGCCUUCUGAGAUCAAGCAAUCCUCCCAUCUCAACCUCCCAAGUAGCUAGGACUACACACGCAUGUCACCCAUGCCCAGAUCAUUUUUGUAGAGUCAGAGUUUCACCGUGGUGGCCAGGUUGGCCAUGUUGGCCAGAUGGGGUCUUCUUUUGUUGCCCAGGCUGGCCACAAAUUCCUGGGCUCAAGUGAUCCUCCCACCUCGUCCUUGUAGAGAUGAGAUUUAGUUAUGUCGUCCAGGCUGAUCUCAAACUCCUGGGCUAAAUCGAUUGUCUCACCUCAGCCUCUCAAGUAUGUUAUGAAGGUUAUAUGUUAGGAAGGGUCCCAGGAGGUAAACCCACACAGAUGGGAUUUGGGCAUAGGUUUGGUUUCCCAGGGGGCAGUGCUGAGCUCUUUGCCAGUGGGAAAUGGGAUGCUGGUGAUUUCCAGUAGGUGACCUCACAGUGACUCAAGCUACCACUUACUGUUGAUUGUGACGAAAUGCCAGCUGAGGCACAUGCCUUGGGAGCUAAGUGGUUGCUGCCCUUGACCACUGUGAAGACUGGUGUGGGAAGGGUCGUUUUGGAUGCACUUGAGCAGGGGUCCCCAACCCCUGAGCCAUGGAGCCGCAAGGAGCCACACAGCAGGAGGUGGGAACAUCCAGUUGCAGGAAAACAAGCUUAACACGCCCACUGAUUCUACAUUAUGGCUGAAGCGAUCCUCCCACCUCAACCUCCCACGUGGCUGAGACUACAGGUGCUUGCCACUAUGCCCAACUAACAUUUGGAAUUUUCGUAUACGUGGAUUCUAGAGGGGUGACAGCGAAACGUGGGACCAUCCAGUUGCAGGAAAACAAGCUUGACACGCCCACUAAUUCUACAUUAUG